GAAGUUUGUAAGAUCGGCUGACCUGGCGGAACAGGCAGAGUUGAUCUGGGUUUAGCGUGUUUCUCUGCGCUGGCUGUGGG
Molecule: long non-coding RNA, 80 nt
Organism: Amblyraja radiata (thorny skate)
Lineage: Eukaryota; Metazoa; Chordata; Chondrichthyes; Rajiformes; Rajidae
Exons: 3
Source: RefSeq, a predicted model, not a curated record